RNAcentral lists this transfer RNA (56 nucleotides) under Tigriopus californicus. RNAcentral's name for it is "tRNA-Ser". Lineage: Eukaryota; Metazoa; Arthropoda; Copepoda; Harpacticoida; Harpacticidae. The record is from RNAcentral.
AGAGCCAGAUCUAAGAUUUUGAAAAUCUGAAUUAGGGAGCUUUUCUCUUGGUUCUU